GUGCUCGCUUUAGCAGCACAUAUACUAAAACUGGAAUGAUACAGAGAAGAUGAGCGCGGCCCUUGAGCAAGGAUGGAGCGCUCCAUAAAAAAAGACAAGUGUGGUAUU
Small nuclear RNA from Bos indicus x Bos taurus (hybrid cattle), 108 nucleotides. Lineage: Eukaryota; Metazoa; Chordata; Mammalia; Artiodactyla; Bovidae. The record is from Ensembl.